GGGUAUAUAGUUCAGGGGUAGAACAGGUGCUUAGCAUGCGUGAAGUCCUGGGUUCAAUCCCCAGUACCUCCA
RNAcentral lists this transfer RNA (72 nucleotides) under Camelus bactrianus (Bactrian camel). It matches the Rfam family "tRNA". Rfam says of the family: Transfer RNA (tRNA) molecules are approximately 80 nucleotides in length. Their secondary structure includes four short double-helical elements and three loops (D, anti-codon, and T loops). The record is from Rfam by way of RNAcentral. Lineage: Eukaryota; Metazoa; Chordata; Mammalia; Artiodactyla; Camelidae. RNAcentral also lists the same sequence under 2 other names.